Clostridium beijerinckii NCIMB 8052 is the source of this 173-nucleotide non-coding RNA. Lineage: Bacteria; Bacillati; Bacillota; Clostridia; Eubacteriales; Clostridiaceae. The record is from Rfam.
UAAAAACUUUGUUAGGUGAGGCUCCUAUAUAGAUACAUGCUGCUGCCCGGAAACGUCGAGAGACGCCAAUGGGUCAACAGGUAUUGCCGGAUUAAGGUUCUACUUAAUGUAGCCGAAAACCAUAUGGUUUUCUAUGCUCUAUAGUGCUAAAACUCAACGAGUGAAGGUUAAUA